GGGGGGGGGGGGGGGGGGGGGGGGGGGGGGGGGGGGGGGGGGGGGGGGCCGGCGGGGGGGGGGUGCGCGAGGGGCGGACGGGUGGGUAACGCGGGGGUACCCUGGCCUUGACGGUGGGAGAACUUCAGAAAACUGGGGCUAAGCCCGGACAGGCGCUCCUGCGGCAUGGUGACGGUUGGCAAGUUUCGGCGGUUGGGGAUGGUCUCGCAGCGUAUCAGAUUGUUGGUGGGGUAGUUGCUUACCCAGGCUUUGCGGGGUAGCCUGCCUGGGAGGGUGACCGGCCACGUUGGGAUUGAGCUACGGCCCAGCCUCCUACGGGGGGCAGCAGUGGGGAGUUUUGCACAAUGGGCGGAAGCCUGAUGCAGCAACGCCGCGUGCGGGAUGUCGGCCUUCGGGUUGUAAACCGCUUCCGCGUGUGUCGAAGCGUGAGUGACGGUAAUGGGUAAAGAAGCACCGGCUAACUACGUG
Molecule: ribosomal RNA, 468 nt
Filed under: uncultured bacterium
Lineage: Bacteria
Description: partial 16S ribosomal RNA
Rfam family: Bacterial small subunit ribosomal RNA (bases 48-468)
Source: RNAcentral